RNAcentral lists this long non-coding RNA (284 nucleotides) under Oryza brachyantha (malo sina). Its description in RNAcentral is "long non-coding RNA (OBRA_LNC003587)". Lineage: Eukaryota; Viridiplantae; Streptophyta; Magnoliopsida; Poales; Poaceae. The record is from RNAcentral.
CUUCAUCAAUGUAUGCCACACGCAGACCGGGGUAACUGUAGUUUAAAAUUCAAAUUGGAAUUGAAUUGAAGCAAUUCCAUUUUUUUGGGAGAUUUCAUUCUAAUUAAAUGUUAACUACUGAAGUAAACAUCAACUGAACUAGUCUCGUAAAAUUGAACAAAAAACAUCUUAGAUAUGUCGUAUCUUGUAAUUGGCAAAAUGUUCCAAUUCUUAUUUCUUUCUCGGAAGAAAUGACUUACUUCACCCUCAAGUUCAAGAUAUCUGUUAGCACGCCGAUCACCAGA